UUCCGGUUGAUCCUGCCGGAGGCUACUGCUAUUGGAAUCCGAUUAAGCCAUGCGAGUCUAAAGGACUUCGGUCCUUGGCGGACGGCUCAGUAACACGUGGAGAAUCUGCCCUCAGGAGGGGGAUAACCCCGGGAAACUGGGAAUAAUACCCCAUAGGUCUAGGAUGCUGGAAUGCUUCUAGGCUGAAAGCUCCGGCGCCUGAGGAUGGCUCUGCGGCUUAUCAGGUUGUAGUGAGGGUAACGUCCUCACUAGCCUAUGACGGGUACGGGCCCUGAGAGGGGAAGCCCGGAGAUGGACUCUGAGACACGAGUCCAGGCCCUACGGGGCGCAGCAGGCGCGAAAACUCCGCAAUGCUCGAAAGAGUGACGGGGGGAUUCCAAGUGCCUACGCUCAGCGUAGGCUGUUCAGAUGCCUAAAAAGCAUCUGGAGUAAGGGCUGGGUAAGACGGGUGCCAUCUGUGGCAGCAGCCGAAAAUUUGGCUUGCUACUGCAAGGCAUAAGCCGCCGCGGUAAUACCCGCAGCUCGAGUGGUAGUCGAUUUUAUUGGGCCUAAAGCGUCCGUAUCCGGUCUGGUAAAUGCUUGGGUAAAUCGUCUGGCUUAACCAGAUGAAUUCCGGGUAGACUACCAGACUUGGGACCGGUUGAGGAAGAGGGUACUUCAGGGGUAGGAGUGAAAU
This 676-nucleotide ribosomal RNA is filed under the name uncultured archaeon. RNAcentral's name for it is "bacterial SSU rRNA". It matches the Rfam family "Archaeal small subunit ribosomal RNA", at positions 1 to 638 of the family's 1478-position model. The record is from RNAcentral.